This 38-nucleotide ribosomal RNA is filed under the name Miscanthus floridulus. RNAcentral describes it as "partial 18S ribosomal RNA". Lineage: Eukaryota; Viridiplantae; Streptophyta; Magnoliopsida; Poales; Poaceae. The record is from RNAcentral.
GUAACAAGGUUUCCGUAGGUGAACCUGCGGAAGGAUCA